CAGCCGCCGCGGGAAUGCGGAGGGGGCUAGCGUUGUUCGGAAUUACUGGGCGUAAAGCGCACGUAGGCGGCUUUGUAAGUUAGAGGUGAAAGCCUGGGGCUCAACUCCAGAAUUGCCUUUAAGACUGCAUCGCUUGAACGUCGGAGAGGUGAGUGGAAUUCCGAGUGUAGAGGUGAAAUUCGUAGAUAUUCGGAAGAACACCAGUGGCGAAGGCGGCUCACUGGACGACUGUUGACGCUGAGGUGCGAAAGCGUGGGGAGCAAACAGGAUUAGAGACCCGAGUAGUCCCUGUCUCUUAUAA
Molecule: ribosomal RNA, 301 nt
Filed under: uncultured bacterium
Lineage: Bacteria
Description: partial 16S ribosomal RNA
Rfam family: Bacterial small subunit ribosomal RNA
Source: RNAcentral